RNAcentral lists this long non-coding RNA (2069 nucleotides) under Nicotiana benthamiana. RNAcentral describes it as "long non-coding RNA (NBEN_LNC025183)". The record is from RNAcentral. Lineage: Eukaryota; Viridiplantae; Streptophyta; Magnoliopsida; Solanales; Solanaceae.
ACCGCCCUAAAAUCCUCUCUACUCUUAGUAAACUCUCAACCUAACCCUAGUCUUCAACCAUCGACUUGCCAUCUCUGGCUAUCUCUUAUGCCAUGCCUAUCUUCUCAAAGGUCUUCAAGGGCCCAGGGCCAUGCUGACUUGCAUCUACGGUUCUUCACCUGUUUGUUCUUGGCUACUCCAGUGUGAUUUCAAGAAAAAUCAUAUUGUAUUUGCUGUAAUCCUUGGGUUUCUAAGCAGGUUUCUUCAUCUCUAUAUUGAUUUCUCUCGAAACCCUAAUUUCUUUUCUAUACCUUCUAGAUAUGUAUAGAUCUAGGACAAUUUGAGUUUGUUUCUUCAAGGUUUUACACUAUCCUUUAGACUCCUUACAAGAAUUGUUGAUUUUAAGUGUUUUUCACCUCCUUCUAAAAUAGGGUUUUCAGAACUCCUUUCUAAAAACUUGUUUAACUGAUUCUUUGUGUAAAAAACUUCUAUCUCUUGCAUUUUUUAACUAAUUCAAUGAGUUUAUUACAUCUUUAACUCGUCUAUGUUGAAAGCCCUAAUUUUCUAGGUUUCUUCGUUUGGUUUUGUGUAUCAGCAUGACUGACCAGUUCUCGUUUGAGUUUCUGUGACUAUCUUGCCUCGAAUAUGUUUCCACUGAGUUUCUUAGCCUAACUUAUAUCAACUCUAUGUGUUUGUGUUCAUCUUGAUUGUUCAAAACUUGCCUCUUUCUGUCAGUGUUAUUUAACCUUCAUGUUUGCAAGAGUUAUGUGUCGACCUCUAGUUAUUCUUAUCUUACUCUAUUUAUAUGCUAAAAUAUUGGCUCAUGUCUCUCUCUUUGAUUGAUUCUAAGUUCCCUGUUUCUUGGCUUGAUAUGAGAACUUUUCUUUAGACCUUCGAUUCUUCCUGUUUAAACUUGGCUUAUUUGCUUAUUCAUGGGAACCUAUGUUAUUCUCCUUAAAUUAGUAUUAUUUCGAGUCCUUUAUUCACUGAUUUGCUAGAUGUUGAUUCUCGAUUAUUUUCAUAUUCUGCAACCUUAUUUAGUUUUCUUACCUUAUUUGGAUUAACCAUGUUAUUUACUGAUUCUUCACUAACUGUUUCCUUAAUUGAACUCUUGUGUAUUUACCCCUAAUUUUCUAUUUUGUACCUAAUGCCUUACUUGAUUUCUUUCCUUAAACAUUUUCUGCCCAUUACUGUUGGUUAAUUACCUCUUAAUUAAGGAAGUGCAUGCCUUAAUUAGUACAUGGUUCCAUAAUUAUUGUUGAACUUUGAUUCUUGCCUUAUUUUCUGCCUAUUUUCAAACUAUAAAUACCCCGCUCUUUCACAACACAAACACACGAACACAUUGGUUUAAAUCUCUCUCACACUCAAAACUUUUCUGCUCUAUCUCUUUGUUUAUCUGCUAUUAUUUUGAGUUAGCUGGCUACAAGCCAAGGCUAACUAUUGUGCUUUCCUGUUCCUUACAUUUAUGUUUACUAUCUCUUUACUGGUAUAUUCUAAUUUCAAUUCAAGUUCCAAAACUAAUAUGUUUCUUUUACUGCUUCAAUUUAUCAUCUUUCUAAUUUGUUUCUAUCUAUUGCUAUGUUGUUCAACAUGGAAUUGACAUGUAUAUAUUGCUGCUUCAUCUAGCAUGCUACUCUAACAUUCUUAAGGCCUUUCAUAACAUGUUCUAUCCCCAUCUAGUAGUCUGUCUCAGUAUAACUCUACUCUGCUUUGAAUGCUUGUCUACUUGUUAUCCGUUUUUGAUAUGCAAAUUGAUCUGUCACUUUAAAUGGUACCAAUAGCUAUCCCCUAAUCCAUUACCCCACAAGAACCACUAUGCUCUUGCAUACUAUGUACUCCACGUGUCCCGAAUUCCCAUUCCCCGUGUGAAGGACUGUUAUUUGAGUAUUGCUGAACUUGUUUGACUGGCCUUUUGUUUGUUUAAUUACACCACUGUGUUUAAAAGAUGUUUUACUAAACAACUCUCUUGUUUACAAAAUUAUUUCAACUAGGUCUCUAUUAACACUGUUUUCCUAAUGAAACCCUUUCAAACUAUGCCAAGCACCCUCACUUUACUCCUAAGUCCCUAGGUUCUGCCUUUUCUAGUGUGU